RNAcentral lists this ribosomal RNA (484 nucleotides) under uncultured bacterium. RNAcentral's name for it is "partial 16S ribosomal RNA". It matches the Rfam family "Bacterial small subunit ribosomal RNA", at positions 30 to 507 of the family's 1533-position model. The record is from RNAcentral.
AUUGAACGCUGGCGGCAGGCCUAACACAUGCAAGUCGAGCGGAUGAACGGAGCUUGCUCCUGGAUUCCGCGGCGGACGGGUGAGUAAUGCCUAUGAAUCUGCCUCGUAGUGGUGGAUAACGUCCUGAAACGGGCGCUAAUACCGCAUACGUCCUGAUGGAGAAAGUGGGGGAUCUUCGGACCUCACGCUAUCAGAUGAGCCUAGGUCGGAUUAGCUAGUUGGUGGGGUAAAGGCCUACCAAGGCGACGAUCCGUAACUGGUCUGAGAGGAUGAUCAGUCACACUGGAACUGAGACACGGUCCAGACUACUAAGGGAGGCAGCAGUGGGGAAUAUUGGACAAUGGGCGAAAGCCUGAUCCAGCCAUGCCGCGUGUGUGAAGAAGGUCUUCGGAUUGUAAAGCACUUUAAGUUGGGAGGAAGGGCAGUAAGUUAAUACCUUGCUGUUUUGACGGUACCAACAGAAUAAGCACCGGCUAACUUCGUG